GGGGCCCGCACAAGCGGUGGAGCAUGUGGUUUUAAUUUCGACGCAACGCGAAGAACCUUACCAGGUCUUUGACAUCCUCUGACAGCCUAAGAGAUUAGGAUUUCAUCCUUCGGGAUGACAGAGAGACAGGUGGUGCAUGGUUGUCGUCAGCUCGUGUCGUGAGAUGUUGGGUUAAGUCCCGCAACGAGCGCAACCCUUGUUCUUAGUUGCCAGCGAGUAAUGUCGGGCACUCUAAGGAUACUGCCGGUGACAAACCGGAGGAAGUGGGGAUGACGUCAAAUCAUCAUGCCCUUUAUGACCUGGGCUACACACGUGCUACAAUGGCCUAUACAAAGGGUAGCGAAGCUGUGAAGUGGAGCCAAUCCCAAAAAGUAGGUCUCAGUUCGGAUUGUAGGCUGCAACUCGCCUACAUGAAGUCGGAAUCGCUAGUAAUCGCGGAUCAGCAUGCCGCGGUGAAUACGUUCCCGGGCCUU
RNAcentral lists this ribosomal RNA (473 nucleotides) under uncultured Peptococcaceae bacterium. RNAcentral describes it as "bacterial SSU rRNA". It matches the Rfam family "Bacterial small subunit ribosomal RNA", at positions 916 to 1382 of the family's 1533-position model. Lineage: Bacteria; Bacillati; Bacillota; Clostridia; Eubacteriales; Peptococcaceae. The record is from RNAcentral.